RNAcentral lists this small RNA (108 nucleotides) under Marmota monax (woodchuck). Lineage: Eukaryota; Metazoa; Chordata; Mammalia; Rodentia; Sciuridae. The record is from RNAcentral.
GCUGGGCGCAGUGGCGCACGCCUGUAAUCCCAGAGGCUUGGGAGGCUGAGGCAGGAGGAUCGAGAGUUCAAAGCCAGCCUCAGCAACUCAGCUGAGACCCUGUCUCUA